This 247-nucleotide ribosomal RNA is filed under the name uncultured bacterium. RNAcentral's name for it is "partial 16S ribosomal RNA". It matches the Rfam family "Bacterial small subunit ribosomal RNA", at positions 523 to 769 of the family's 1533-position model. The record is from RNAcentral.
AUACGAAGGGGGCUAGCGUUGUUCGGAAUUACUGGGCGUAAAGCGCACGUAGGCGGACAUUUGAGUCAGGGGUGAAAUCCCGGGGCUCAACCCUGGAACUGCCUUUGAUACUGGGUGACUUGAGUACGAGAGAGGUGAGUGGAAUUCCGAGUGUAGAGGUGAAAUUCGUAGAUAUUCGGAAGAACACCAGUGGCGAAGGCGGCUCACUGGCUCGUAACUGACGCUGAGGUGCGAAAGCGUGGGGAGC